This 66-nucleotide transfer RNA is filed under the name Romalea microptera (eastern lubber grasshopper). RNAcentral's name for it is "tRNA-Glu". It matches the Rfam family "tRNA". Rfam says of the family: Transfer RNA (tRNA) molecules are approximately 80 nucleotides in length. Their secondary structure includes four short double-helical elements and three loops (D, anti-codon, and T loops). Lineage: Eukaryota; Metazoa; Arthropoda; Insecta; Orthoptera; Romaleidae. The record is from RNAcentral.
AUUUAUAUAGUUUAAUUAAAACAUUACAUUUUCACUGUAAAAAUAAUAUUCUAGUAUUUAUAAAUA